Molecule: ribosomal RNA, 492 nt
Filed under: cf. Amphiuridae sp. DH-2009
Lineage: Eukaryota; Metazoa; Echinodermata; Ophiuroidea; Amphilepidida; Amphiuridae
Description: partial 16S ribosomal RNA
Rfam family: Bacterial large subunit ribosomal RNA
Source: RNAcentral
CACCUUUGGUAAAAGAUCAAAAGGCUCUGCCUGCCCGGUGACUAAACUAGUUAAACGGCUGCAGUACUCUGACUGUGCAAAGGUAGCAUAAUCAUUAGCCUAUUAAUUGUAGGCUCGUAUCAACGGCUAGACGAUGGAGAAGCUGUCUCCUCUUUAAACUCUUGAACUUAAUGUUAAGGUGAAGAGGCCUUAAUAAAUUAGUGGGACGAGAAGACCCUAUAGAGCUUUAUUUAAUAAGUAAUAGUUUAAUUACUGAUAAAUUUAGUUGGGGCAACUGCUUUUUGAGUAAAACAAAAGCUAAAAAAUAAUGAAUUAAUUCUAUAACUGACCCAAAACAUAUUUGAUUAAAAAAAUAAGUUACCUUAGGGAUAACAGCGUAAUUUUUUUUGAGAGUACACAUUGACAAAAAAGUUUGCGACCUCGAUGUUGGAUCAGGCACUCCUGGGUGUGCAGCAGCCUCCAUAGGUUGGUUUGUUCAACCAUAAAAAGCCU